RNAcentral lists this ribosomal RNA (414 nucleotides) under uncultured microorganism. Its description in RNAcentral is "bacterial SSU rRNA". It matches the Rfam family "Archaeal small subunit ribosomal RNA", at positions 330 to 745 of the family's 1478-position model. The record is from RNAcentral.
GUGCAGCAGUCGCGAAACCUCCGCAAUGCGCGAAAGCGCGACGGGGCCACCCCGAGUGCCGCCCGCUGAGGGUGGCUUUUCCCCGGUGUAGACAGCCGGGGGAAUAAGGAGAGGGCAAGUCUGGUGUCAGCCGCCGCGGUAAUACCAGCUCUCCGAGUGGUGGGGACGAUUAUUGGGCCUAAAGCGUCCGUAGCCGGCCCAGCAAGUCCUCCGUUAAAUCCAGCGAUCCAAUCGCUGGACUGCGGGGGAUACUGCUGGGCUAGGGGGCGGGGAGAGGCCGGCGGUAUUCCCGGGGUAGGGGUGAAAUCCUAUAAUCCCGGGAGGACCACCAGUGGCGAAGGCUGCCGGCUGGAACGCGCCCGACGGUGAGGGACGAAAGCCGGGGGAGCGAACCGGAUUAGAUACCCGCGUAGU